UACGAAGGGGGCUAGCGUUGCUCGGAAUCACUGGGCGUAAAGCGCACGUAGGCGGACUCUUAAGUCGGUGGUGAAAUCCUGGAGCUCAACUCCAGAACUGCCUUCGAUACUGAGAGUCUCGAGUCCGGGAGAGGUGAGUGGAACUCCGAGUGUAGAGGUGAAAUUCGUAGAUAUUCGGAGGAACACCAGUGGCGAAGGCGGCUCACUGGUCCAUUACUGACGCUGAGGUGCGAAAGCGUGGGUAGCGAACAGG
This 253-nucleotide ribosomal RNA is filed under the name uncultured bacterium. RNAcentral's name for it is "partial 16S ribosomal RNA". It matches the Rfam family "Bacterial small subunit ribosomal RNA", at positions 524 to 776 of the family's 1533-position model. The record is from RNAcentral.